RNAcentral lists this long non-coding RNA (666 nucleotides) under Piliocolobus tephrosceles (Ugandan red Colobus). Its description in RNAcentral is "lncRNA (ENSPTEG00000002832.1)". Lineage: Eukaryota; Metazoa; Chordata; Mammalia; Primates; Cercopithecidae. The record is from RNAcentral.
AAAAAAAAAACACGUUAAAAUAUUACUUUAUUUUAAAAAAAUAGCUAUUUUUUUUUGUUCCUUUUUUUUUAUAUUAAAAGGAUAAGUCAAACUAUGAAAAUAUGAUUCUUAAGAGAGAAACAGAAUGCCUACAAAAAAAAAUCAAGAAUUUAGAAGAUGUUUAUAUCGAAAAAGAAAAUAAAAUUAUGGAAAUAUUAGAAGAGAAAGAAGAUCUUAAAGAUCAUAUAUUCGAAAUAGAAAACGAAAAUUCCAAACUAAGGGAUAAUAUUGCCAAGCUUAAUGAAAGAAUAUUAGAUUUAACAGAUGUGUGUAAACAUACAGACAUAUGAUUAAAACUAGAAACAAAGAAUUACAACAAAGUGAUAUCUUAAUUAUAGAGAAUAAGAACUUAAGAAAUAUUAUUGAAGUACUGCUCCGUAAUCUUAUAUCUUUAAUGUGUAUAUAUUUGUAUAUUCGUAUAUUUGUUUGUAUGUAUGUGCACAUGUAUACAUGUACGUACGAACGUCCGAUGUGAUACAGUUUGCAUGAACUAUAUUUUGUAUCUUCAUUUUGACUUUUUUUUUUUUUUUUUUUUUUCUGUAAGGAUAUGAAGAACCAUAAAUUAUUAUUAGAAUCGAAGAUCACAAAAAAAAAUAAAAUAAUUGAUGUGAUUAAGGAAAAAUACCA